UGAUGACUGUUCCUCCUAUUGCUUUGAGGCCUGGCAGUGGGAUUUUAGGUCAUCAUAAAUUAAAAUUUGAUUUUCUUCACUCAGAGAAUAUUAGGAUAAUGGAAUUAUCUGUCUAUUCUCUGAAAUUUGCGGAAUCAAACAAUU
This is a small nucleolar RNA of Chinchilla lanigera (long-tailed chinchilla), 144 nucleotides long. Ensembl annotates it as small nucleolar RNA, H/ACA box 79. Its record names the gene SNORA79. The record is from Ensembl. NCBI's taxonomy places the organism in Eukaryota, Metazoa, Chordata, Mammalia, Rodentia, Chinchillidae.